Molecule: ribosomal RNA, 253 nt
Filed under: uncultured bacterium
Lineage: Bacteria
Description: partial 16S ribosomal RNA
Rfam family: Bacterial small subunit ribosomal RNA
Source: RNAcentral
UACGGAGGGAGCUAGCGUUAUUCGGAAUUACUGGGCGUAAAGCGCACGUAGGCGGCUUUGUAAGUAAGAGGUGAAAGCCCGGGGCUCAACUCCGGAAUUGCCUUUAAAACUGCAUCGCUAGAAUUGUGGAGAGGUAAGUGGAAUUCCGAGUGUAGAGGUGAAAUUCGUAGAUAUUCGGAAGAACACCAGUGGCGAAGGCGGCUCACUGGACUGGUAUUGACGCUGAGGUGCGAAAGCGUGGGGAGCAAACAGG